Molecule: ribosomal RNA, 468 nt
Filed under: uncultured bacterium
Lineage: Bacteria
Description: partial 16S ribosomal RNA
Rfam family: Bacterial small subunit ribosomal RNA
Source: RNAcentral
GACGAACGCUGGCGGCGUGCUUAACACAUGCAAGUCGAACGGCAAGGCCCUGCUUUUGUGGGGUGCUCGAGUGGCGAACGGGUGAGUAACACGUGAGUAACCUGCCCUUGACUUUGGGAUAACUUCAGGAAACUGGGGCUAAUACCGGAUAGGAGCUCCUGUUCCAUGGGGGGGGUUGGAAAGUUUCGGCGGUUGGGGAUGGACUCGCGGCUUAUCAGCUUGUUGGUGGGGGAGUGGCUUACCCAGGCUGUGACGGGUAGCCGGCCUGAGAGGGUGACCGGCCACAUUGGGACUGCGAUACGGCCCAGACUCGUACGGGAGGCAGCGGUGGGGAGUAUUGCACAGUGGGCGGGAGCGUGAUGCAGCAGCGCCGCGUGCGGGAUGACGGCCUUCGGGUUGUAAACCGCUUUCGCCUGUGACGAAGCGUGAGUGACGGUAAUGAGUAAAGAAGCACCGGCUAACUACGUG